Molecule: ribosomal RNA, 633 nt
Filed under: uncultured Halomonas sp.
Lineage: Bacteria; Pseudomonadati; Pseudomonadota; Gammaproteobacteria; Oceanospirillales; Halomonadaceae
Description: bacterial SSU rRNA
Rfam family: Bacterial small subunit ribosomal RNA
Source: RNAcentral
CGCCUGGGGAGUACGGCCGCAAGGUUAAAACUCAAAUGAAUUGACGGGGGCCCGCACAAGCGGUGGAGCAUGUGGUUUAAUUCGAUGCAACGCGAAGAACCUUACCUACUCUUGACAUCCUGCGAAUUUGGUAGGGAUACCUUAGUGCCUUCGGGAACGCAGAGACAGGUGCUGCAUGGCUGUCGUCAGCUCGUGUUGUGAAAUGUUGGGUUAAGUCCCGUAACGAGCGCAACCCUUGUCCUUAUUUGCCAGCGCGUAAUGGCGGGAACUCUAAGGAGACUGCCGGUGACAAACCGGAGGAAGGUGGGGACGACGUCAAGUCAUCAUGGCCCUUACGAGUAGGGCUACACACGUGCUACAAUGGUCGGUACAAAGGGUUGCCAACUCGCGAGAGUGAGCCAAUCCCGAAAAGCCGAUCUCAGUCCGGAUCGGAGUCUGCAACUCGACUCCGUGAAGUCGGAAUCGCUAGUAAUCGUGGAUCAGAAUGCCACGGUGAAUACGUUCCCGGGCCUUGUACACACCGCCCGUCACACCAUGGGAGUGGACUGCACCAGAAGUGGUUAGCCUAACGCAAGAGGGCGAUCACCACGGUGUGGUUCAUGACUGGGGUGAAGUCGUAACAAGGUAACCGUA